AAAUUGGUAUCAUGAAUUCUGUUGAUAUCAAAGACAAAAGUUCAAGUUAUAUAAAAUAAAAUUCUUCAAUUGGCUCAAGAAAUUUGUUGGCUUUAGAAGGGUGCACUAGUUGGUUCAUACAAGGGGAGUUGCCGUUUAUACAAUACAUCUGGUACUAGUUUAGAGAGCUCUCUGUGCGUGCAUGGUUGGUUUAGUCAAGUUUUUUAUGCACUAACUAUUAAUAAAUUCUUUAUCUAUUCAUACUUUCAGAGAAUAAGUUGCAACAAAAAAGCCAAAUCAAACUGUAGAACAAGAAGAAGAAAUCUCAUCACAAGAAAAUCUCUGGUUUCCAGUUUGCUCCAGGUAGUUCAUCAGAAGUUCUCAUCACAUCUGCAGAUUCACGAAUUCGGGUUGUUGACGGUAUUGAUCUGGUUCACAAGUUUAAAGGAGAAUUGGUCGGAAUGUUUGCGAUACAAGUUGGCAUCAAAUCUAGCGCUUUCAAAAGAAAAUGAACAAUGUUCCAAAAUUAUAGAAAAUGCUAGAAAAAUUCCACUACAUGAUUAUUUUCGAUCACUUAAAUGACAGUGAUUUGUAUAAAUUGAUGACUAAAUUUUCUGGAAAAUGCUGCAAUUUAGUGAAUUUUCUUUUUUGCAAAAGGGAGAUUGAAUUUUUAUCAUUCAUGAUCGCAAACGUAUGUGUUGUGUGCAUACAUGCAAUGUAGUUGAUAGUUACAUUUGUGAAGAAUUGGAAAAUUAAAUUUGUUGUGGUGCUUUAUGUGACACCAUUCAAAGCA
Quercus robur (English oak) is the source of this 772-nucleotide long non-coding RNA. RefSeq lists it as uncharacterized. The transcript has 3 exons. The record is from RefSeq and is a predicted model, not a curated record. Lineage: Eukaryota; Viridiplantae; Streptophyta; Magnoliopsida; Fagales; Fagaceae.